AUCCUUCGGUUCAUGAGCGUGAUGAUUGGGUGUUCAUGCUGUGUGCGUGAGAUGUGCCUCCCUCAGUCCUUGUUACGACGUCGGCACAUUACCCUUCUGAUC
Non-coding RNA from Fukomys damarensis (Damara mole-rat), 102 nucleotides. Lineage: Eukaryota; Metazoa; Chordata; Mammalia; Rodentia; Bathyergidae. The record is from Rfam.